Molecule: non-coding RNA, 1543 nt
Organism: Nylanderia fulva
Lineage: Eukaryota; Metazoa; Arthropoda; Insecta; Hymenoptera; Formicidae
Source: RefSeq, a predicted model, not a curated record
AUAGUCUAAACUAAUAAUAUUUUUUCGAUUUCUAUUAUAUACAAUAUACGUAUAACUAUACAUCUUAAAAUUUUGUCGUGAAUUAUGAAUGAUGCAAAACAGACUUUAAAUCGGCGACUUUAUUUUCUCAGCCGAAAGUGCACACAAGAAGCACCCAAUAUCUAUAAUUAUAUAUAUCUUUGCCUCCUUAAAGUAUGAUCCUUAAAAUAUGAUAGAUCAUUUCGAAUGACGAUACUGCGUUAUAAGAGACGAAAUUUUCCUUUUGUCAUAAGAGCUAAUUAAUGUAUACAUUUGCAACAACAAAUGUCAAAAUAACUGCAUAAAAAGUUUCUUUUGAGAAACUUUUGUUACAACGAGCUAAACUACAAUCUCUUAUCGACAGAACGAUUAAAUCAAAAGAGUUACAAUUGAUAUAUCUUUGUAUGUUUUUCUUCACAGAUAUAGAUUUUGAACUAUAAUCUUUUAGAUUUUCAACUUUGUGAAUUCUGAAUUUUUUAAGUUUCUUUUAUAGAGAGAAAAACGAAUUAUCGAACAAGUUCCCAGUUUCUUCUUUAUGUAUCAUUUUAAUCUAUAUUUCAAUGCACCUCUUUUAUUCGAAAUUUUUAGUUUUAACAAAGCCGUCCAUCCAACGUUCUUCCUCUGAAAUAUAUUUUUAUGCAAGUUCGAAGAACAUUUCUUAUCCUUGUGUUUGCUUUUUUCAUAGCAGAUUUCCUUCGAAUUUGCAUAAUCGAAAAACUCUGAAUGUUAUUAAUAAAGCAUUAUCUUUGAACUCUCUAAUUAAGCAAAAAGCGAUGGAAAACUAUUCGGGUGAACGCGCGAUCCAGGUCCACCGGCGGCAAGAUCAAAGGGAACGAGAAGGUUCAGAAGGCCGAUCGGCGGCAGCCUGAGUUCCUGAAGAGACGAAGGUCCUUGCCGCGUCCAACGAAGCCGUCCCCCGUUGAUCCUCCCACUUCCGCUUCCGUCGUCGCAUCCUCGUCCUAUCCCGCUGUAUCAAGCCAAAGCACCACGUCCGAGGAAACAUCCUCUUCCAGCGAAUCCAGGGUGCGGGAGAUCCAAGCGAUUUCGCAACUAGAGGUGAUCCGCGUUUAAAUCCGUCAUAUUAAAUAGAAGAGAAAUUAGAAUAUUACAUCGUAUAUUUAAAAACAAAAAUAUAAAAUUCCGAUUUUUUUGAAGAUUUAUCAAUAAUUAUGCAGCUGAGGAAAUCGGGAGAAAUUUUUCUCGUAUUUUUCACUCGAAAACGCAAAAUUUCCAUUGUUUCCAUCACGAAAUCAUCUGUAGACUUUUUUUAUGCCGCUUAUCCUGCUCCGAUAAAACCAUCCUCAAUUUUGCUGUGGAAUUUAACUAUUUUUAGCUGUUUUACAGGAAAUUUGACUUAUUUCGAUAAUUGAAACGAUAUUAUAUCGCAAUUUGAAUUUGAGUAAUGUAUGAGCAGAAAUUCGCAUCAAAGAUCAUCUUAUUCAGAAGUUGCGGUUUUUUUAUGUGUAAAAUAAAAUUUUAAGACACUUCAAACAUAGAAGACGAAUUAAAUGAUCAGUUUAAAAAU